UGAUGAGGGAAAGUUGUCUUGAAAAGUCUUUUUAGUACAAUCUAGAAGAUGUUAACAAAAAAAAAAUAUGAAAGAGAACAGAAUAAAAACUGGCAGACAUUGGCAAAUACAACUCUCGUAGCUGUACCACGCCAGAGAAUCACCAGCACUUUUCAGCUCCUGAAAAAAUGUCAGGGCAACAACAGAAUGUUGGCAUUAGCUUGGGAAAUAAAAAUUCCAAUGUGAGAGAAGCACAAGAUAUCCAUUUACAGCGGAGAAAUAAACUUUCUAACUCAAGUACUGGCUAGAUAUGUUGAAAAAAAAAAAAAAGAAAGCAAGCUUUCGUUGUAGCUAACAAAAUAACCGGCUCAGAACCAGGGAAGUUAGUGAAUUCGUCUGGCAUGGACUCCAAUGAUGAUAACAACUCUAGGGUUGUAUUUGUGAGAUUUGCAAAUUCUUCUUCUGGAAGCUGACAUUCCAGGACAAGGAGAAUCAUUCCAAAUAGAAAAGCAAUGUUUGCUACUCUUCAAGACACACUUGGAUUUAAUUUUGCAUCUUCUAGUUCAGGGGAAAAUUAAUUUACUGAUGUCUUACCUAGAACUGUAUCUGUAUGCUUCAGGUUGAAAAGUUUGAACAAUCUAUGUAAUUGUGCUACAUCGAAUGCCUUUGACACCAAUCAUUUGGUAGGGAACUCUUUUGAAUUGAAAGAAUUAGAUUUUGAGACCUGCUAGUAAACAUAAUAUGCCUGAAACUGAGGAACAGAAUAUCUGUCAGUGGAACAAGAAGCAAAACUUAUGACCAAAGCUGAUGCACCCAGAGAUGUUUACUAAAACAGAUGAUUCAGUCUAAAUCUGAAAAAAUAACAUUAAACAUAGGAAUAAAAAGAGAACAGAAAAGCUAACAGAGCGAGAAAAUUGAAGGCUAUAUCAAGGUAUAAAGGAAGCACAAUUAAAAAUUUCUUAAAAAACGAUUUGUGAAAAAUUGCAUAAUUCUUUUAGUUUUAGCAAUGCUUACAAUUUCAAUUUGACAGUGGAUAUUAAUAUUCCUCCUUUCUGAACAAAUACAAUGGGCAAAGAUUCUAUAAAGGAGAGGAAAUGAACAAUGAGUCUGAAAUAAGCAUCCAGGAAUCAAGUGGGCAAAGGACACCCAUGAAAGAGAGAUGGAAGGUGCCCAGACAACACAAACUCCUAUAGCACACCCCUUGAAACUCACCAGUCACCUCCUCAUAUCCUAGAGGACAUCACUAAUGCCAACCUUUCUACUGUAGUGAAAAAUCAGAACACUUUUAUUCUCCAAAACUGAAUAACAAACUGAAUAAAGAAAUCUCAGCAGUGUCUCUCCCUAAGAACAGGUGUAUAACCAGUGUGAACUAUAAGGAAAACGCACUAGCAUGGCGACAGAGAAUAAGACACCUUUUCUAUAGAUUUGUUUCCUGAAUUCUGUUUUCAAGCAGAAAAAGACUCUAGACACCAUUCUUAAAAAAUGUAUUAAACAAAUACAAUGAAGCUUUUGUUGGAUGCCACUGAAAUUCAUCCUACACUCCUCUCAAUUUUUCAAAGAGAGAUUCUGUUCAAGUCUAAAAGUGGGUCAUACUAAUGCCAUAGACUAUU
RNAcentral lists this long non-coding RNA (1589 nucleotides) under Homo sapiens (human). Its description in RNAcentral is "non-protein coding lnc-COBL-6:1". Lineage: Eukaryota; Metazoa; Chordata; Mammalia; Primates; Hominidae. The record is from RNAcentral.